Molecule: ribosomal RNA, 449 nt
Filed under: uncultured bacterium
Lineage: Bacteria
Description: bacterial SSU rRNA
Rfam family: Bacterial small subunit ribosomal RNA
Source: RNAcentral
UGCCAGACUCCUACGGGAGGCAGCAGUGGGGAAUAUUGCACAAUGGGCGAAAGCCUGAUGCAGCGACGCCGCGUGAAGGAUGAAGUAUUUCGGUAUGUAAACUUCUAUCAGCAGGGAAGAAAAUGACGGUACCUGACUAAGAAGCCCCGGCUAACUACGUGCCAGCAGCCGCGGUAAUACGUAGGGGGCAAGCGUUAUCCGGAUUUACUGGGUGUAAAGGGAGCGUAGACGGCGAUGCAAGCCAGAUGUGAAAGCCCGGGGCUCAACCCCGGGACUGCAUUUGGAACUGUGUGGCUGGAGUGUCGGAGAGGCAAGUGGAAUUCCUAGUGUAGCGGUGAAAUGCGUAGAUAUUAGGAGGAACACCAGUGGCGAAGGCGGCUUACUGGACUGUAACUGACGUUGAGGCUCGAAAGCGUGGGGAGCAAACAGGAUUAGAUACCCCAGUACGA